Homo sapiens (human) is the source of this 2301-nucleotide RNA transcript. It is a transcript of the gene named Fc gamma receptor Ia, with no coding region annotated. The record is from RefSeq and is marked reviewed. Lineage: Eukaryota; Metazoa; Chordata; Mammalia; Primates; Hominidae. The transcript is spliced from 7 exons.
AAUAUCUUGCAUGUUACAGAUUUCACUGCUCCCACCAGCUUGGAGACAACAUGUGGUUCUUGACAACUCUGCUCCUUUGGGUUCCAGUUGAUGGGCAAGUGGACACCACAAAGGCAGUGAUCACUUUGCAGCCUCCAUGGGUCAGCGUGUUCCAAGAGGAAACCGUAACCUUGCACUGUGAGGUGCUCCAUCUGCCUGGGAGCAGCUCUACACAGUGGUUUCUCAAUGGCACAGCCACUCAGACCUCGACCCCCAGCUACAGAAUCACCUCUGCCAGUGUCAAUGACAGUGGUGAAUACAGGUGCCAGAGAGGUCUCUCAGGGCGAAGUGACCCCAUACAGCUGGAAAUCCACAGAGGCUGGCUACUACUGCAGGUCUCCAGCAGAGUCUUCACGGAAGGAGAACCUCUGGCCUUGAGGUGUCAUGCGUGGAAGGAUAAGCUGGUGUACAAUGUGCUUUACUAUCGAAAUGGCAAAGCCUUUAAGUUUUUCCACUGGAAUUCUAACCUCACCAUUCUGAAAACCAACAUAAGUCACAAUGGCACCUACCAUUGCUCAGGCAUGGGAAAGCAUCGCUACACAUCAGCAGGAAUAUCUGUCACUGUGAAAGAGCUAUUUCCAGCUCCAGUGCUGAAUGCAUCUGUGACAUCCCCACUCCUGGAGGGGAAUCUGGUCACCCUGAGCUGUGAAACAAAGUUGCUCUUGCAGAGGCCUGGUUUGCAGCUUUACUUCUCCUUCUACAUGGGCAGCAAGACCCUGCGAGGCAGGAACACAUCCUCUGAAUACCAAAUACUAACUGCUAGAAGAGAAGACUCUGGGUUAUACUGGUGCGAGGCUGCCACAGAGGAUGGAAAUGUCCUUAAGCGCAGCCCUGAGUUGGAGCUUCAAGUGCUUGGCCUCCAGUUACCAACUCCUGUCUGGUUUCAUGUCCUUUUCUAUCUGGCAGUGGGAAUAAUGUUUUUAGUGAACACUGUUCUCUGGGUGACAAUACGUAAAGAACUGAAAAGAAAGAAAAAGUGGGAUUUAGAAAUCUCUUUGGAUUCUGGUCAUGAGAAGAAGGUAAUUUCCAGCCUUCAAGAAGACAGACAUUUAGAAGAAGAGCUGAAAUGUCAGGAACAAAAAGAAGAACAGCUGCAGGAAGGGGUGCACCGGAAGGAGCCCCAGGGGGCCACGUAGCAGCGGCUCAGUGGGUGGCCAUCGAUCUGGACCGUCCCCUGCCCACUUGCUCCCCGUGAGCACUGCGUACAAACAUCCAAAAGUUCAACAACACCAGAACUGUGUGUCUCAUGGGAACACGGUGUUUGGUUUUAUAAAUUCCAUUUUGGUGGAAUAGGAAGGUAUGAUCUGUUUCAUUGACUAUGCUUUCAUCUUACUUUAUGCCUUCUACUUUCCACAGGUUUUUGUUGUGUUCCUUUGUUAGCGUUUGAGUUAAAAACUUAAUUCUCUCUCUGUUGCUCAGGCUGGAGUGCAGUGGCAUGAUCUCAACUCACUGUAACCCUCCGCCUCCCAGGCUCAACGAUCCUCCUGCCUCGGCCUCCCUAGCAGUUCGAACUAUAGGCGUGCACCACGACAUCCAGCUAAUUUUUGUAUCUGUUGGAGACACAGGGUCCUGCCAUGUUGUCCAGGCUGGUCUCCAAUUCCAGAGGCAAUAAUUGGGAGGCCAAGGCGAUCUGCCUACCAAUUAUUUUCUCUUAAAUGCAUUUUAAAGCUACAAAUUUUCUCCUGACUGCUUCAUGUAGGUUUUAAUAUUAUUUGCCAUGAAAUAUAUUUCACAGUGGAAUGACAGAUAAUUGGGAUAAGAAAUGGCAAUUCAAGGAGUUAUUUAAAUAUAGGGCUAAGAUUUGAAUUCUAGCUUACUGGGACCAAAGCUUGUGAAGUCUCAGGGUAUGGCUGAAUUAUAGUGCUCUUGUUAUUUCUAAAGAGUGUAUAAUUUUUAUUCUGAUAUCCCCUUUAACCCAUGUGCUUUUUCCUAAGAGUACAACUUAAGGAGGGCAUGUUUGAUUAUUUUAUUGUUUUAUAAUCAGUUAACUAUGCCCUGGUCCUAUAUGGUUUCAGCUUUUCAGCACUUGUUGAGACUUAAUUUGCCAUCUCACUUAUGGCCAAUUUUUGUCAAUAUUCUAUGUGAAUUUGAAAAUAAUGUAACUUUCCUAUUUUGAAUAUAAGAUGGUAUAGGCAUAAUUAUAGUUAUGAUUAAUCUUAUUAACCGUGUUCUUCAAAUUCUCCAUAUCCUCAGUAAGUUUCAGUCAACUAGAUCUGUCAAUUCCUAAGAAAGGUAUAUUAAACUUAUCACUGUGAUUGUUGA